UGUGCUAAGCCCCUGCUACACAACAAAGAAUUCAUUGCAUGUGAUUAUUUCUCAGCUCUUUGGCCUGUCAUGAAGACUUGAAGCGUCUUCCCUAGAAACGGAGAUGCAACAGCUGAGGGACAGCACCUUCUCUACACUCUACUUCUUCACAGUCUAACCUGAACACAGUGAGAUGGCCACGUCUUGUCUCCAUUCUAGCCAACUCAGAAGGAGGUGAUCUUUCAACAAGUGAACAACAUGAAAAUCCAGCCAAUAUCUGCUGCUGUGCCUAUUGUAGAAUCCCUGCUUUGUCAGCACCUGUCUCAGGACACGGGGUAUCGUUUCUUCAAUGAGGAUAUUCAAUGACUCACCUCCAGUCUCAGAAGUCCAAUGGGUUCCAGGGAGAGCUUGACAACAAUAUCAGUCAUCAGGAAGAUACUCAUCCUCCUUACACUCUGAGGGAGCUGCAUACCCUCAACACUGGCCCUGGGGACUCCUCUGACCAUCCUGGAGGGGGCAGGCAGACCUCCAAUCACCUGAGUGCUCAGAGCUGAUGGUCUACAACCAGGGGCAGUGUUUUUCACUUGAUUUCUUUGUUCUGCAAGAAAUGGUAAAAUAGCAUUUAUACCUAAAGCAAUGUAAUAUAACUGUAUUUCCUCUGUCUCAUGUCUCUUGAAAAGCUGACAGAAUCACUAGAGACUUACAGAGAAUAGCCACAAAACAAGCAGGAGAAACAUCAGUCAGGGCAGUUCAGGCAAGGAUUAAUGCCACCAAUGAGAUGAAAUGUUUAUUGACACAGUGAUCAAUAUUGCUAGCUAGUUUAAAGUUUUAUCUUUCAUAAAUAUCAUAGCAAAUAAAAAAUGGCUUUUCUAAAAAGAUGGCUUAAAA
RNAcentral lists this long non-coding RNA (867 nucleotides) under Mus spicilegus (steppe mouse). Its description in RNAcentral is "lncRNA (ENSMSIG00000026743.1)". Lineage: Eukaryota; Metazoa; Chordata; Mammalia; Rodentia; Muridae. The record is from RNAcentral.